Long non-coding RNA from Cervus hanglu yarkandensis (Yarkand deer), 1993 nucleotides. The record is from Ensembl. NCBI's taxonomy places the organism in Eukaryota, Metazoa, Chordata, Mammalia, Artiodactyla, Cervidae.
CGGGACUUCCGUUCAGAUUGUUGCUCUUCUGUCCUGCUACUCCGUCGGUCGCGGGCGGACGGACCUGGUUGUUGGACUGUGGCUGGUGUCCAGGGGGCUCCUCAGGCCCGCGGAAACGGGAAUGGCAGAUGAGACCACCAAAUGUGGACCCCACCAUCCCUGCCUCUGUUCUGGGCCCUGCCUCAGUGGAAACCAGCAGAUGAUGAGGGCAGGUGCCCCCAGGCUCACUUGCAGUGCCGCCUGUGCCCCUGAGAUCUGGGCUGCAGACCUCUCAGCCCCAGGGCUCCUGCCUUGCAGUGAUGGUCUUGCCGGGAGCAAGCCCAAGGAGGCCGAGGAGGCCGCCUGCCUGCAGACUGUCGUCCGACCAGGAGCAGCACGCUGCGGCUCACACCUGCUCUCAGGUGGCCUCUGCACCCGUUCUCAGGUCAAGAAUCUGGAGCAUUCGGAAGGGAGUUGCCCCCGGGACAUUCCAGUUGCCCCCAGCAGAGUGAGCCUGUCCAGGAAUCCUCCCCCAGCACUGCCAGCAGACCCUCUGUGGGGCCUUUGGCCAGAGAGGGUCAGUUCGCAGCUCCCAUGCAGUUAGGGCCUAACAAGUUCCGACUCUUUGCCACCCCAUGUCCAUGGAAUUUUUCAGGCAGAAUACUAGAGUGGGUUGCCAUUUCCUCCUCCAGGGGAUCUUCCUAACCCAGGGAUUGAAACAGUGCCUCCUGCAUUGGCAGGCAGUUUCUUUACCACUGAGCCACCUGGGGAGCCCCAUAUCAUGUCCCAUAGCUAUGUCUUUCUUUUAAAGGUUCUGUUUAAAAGAACCCCUCUGUCCUGUUUCAGAGGGACCAGCAUGUGCAAAGGCUUGGAGGAGGGUAUGCAGGACACCUGAAGUCCUUUACCACAAAGUCCCAAGGGGGAAGGAUUCAUGUUAGGCCUUUAUCCUGGGGGGGAUGGGGGUGGGGCAGGGGUUGGGGAGACAUGAUUGGACGAGUGACUAGAUCUGACAAGACUCCAUUUUGGGACUUCCCCAGUGGUCCAGUGGUUAACCGCCCGCCUUCUAUUGUAGGGGAUGCAAGUUUGAUCCCUGGAUGGGAAAAUACGAUCCCUCAUGCUGAGAUGCAAAUAAGCCUGAGUGCCACAACUGCUGAGCCCACAUGCUCUGGAGCCCGCAAGCCACAGGGAAGAUCCCGUGUGCCUCAAAUAAGACCUGACACUGCCAAAUAAAUACAUUUUUAAAAAAGAGCAUCCAUUUGACAUCCACAUGGAGAAGGGAGAGGGACUGGGUGAAGGUCAGGGGAAUGGGCCCUCUUGAGCCUCUACAUGUGACACAUUCCUGCCAGGCCCUUCAGUUCAGCUGCCCGUUCCUGGUCAGCAGAAUCAUGCUCCCCACCGAAGAUGUCCACAGACUGCUAACCUGCCUGAGGGCUACCAUGAGGCCUGGAGUGGAGGUGGGUUGCCAUCUGUACCAGUGGGGUCAGGCUCACAGUCCAGGACCGCCAUGCGGACCCUGAAAGCUGGAGAGCCCACCCCAGUGACACAUCUUCAAAGACACCUGGUUGUAGUAGGUAGAAGCCACGUGCCCGGGGACGUGGCGGGGAGCCUCCCGGUUCAGCCCCAGCCUCCAUCAACACCAAAGGCAACUGAAGUGGGGGUACACGUAGAGCCCCUCACCAGUGCAGAGUAACCCCAGAGAAGCUACAUGACACAUCCACCAGCACCUUGACAGUGCUGAGGCCAAUGGUAAAAGGUCAAAAAGUGGGCAGUGCCCCAAUUCCUGAUAAUCUCACCCCUUUUCCCAAAUAGUUGGAAAAACCCUUCCACUCGUUAAGUCUAUGAAGUUGCCCAGCCCAUAAAAACUAAUCACCCCAUGUUUUGGGGCCUCUCGCUUUCUGAGAUGGCCCACACUGUGGAGUGUGUUUCUCCCAUGGUUGUUCUGGCCUUUUGAGGCUGACUGAAUUCUAUCUAUGGAAUGUGUUUCUAAAUAAAUCUACUUCUUACCUAUCAUUUU